AUUGAACGCUGGCGGCAUGCCUUACACAUGCAAGUCGAACGGUAACAGCACUUCGGUGGCUGACGAGUGGCGAACGGGUGAGUAAUACAUCGGAACGUGCCCGAGAGUGGGGGAUAACGCAGCGAAAGCUGUGCUAAUACCGCAUACGAUCUACGGAUGAAAGCAGGGGAUUCGCAAGGACCUUGCGCUCAUGGAGCGGCCGAUGGCAGAUUAGGUAGUUGGUGGGAUAAAAGCUUACCAAGCCGACGAUCUGUAGCUGGUCUGAGAGGACGACCAGCCACACUGGGACUGAGACACGGCCCAGACUCCUACGGGAGGCAGCAGUGGGGAAUUUUGGACAAUGGGCGAAAGCCUGAUCCAGCCAUGCCGCGUGCAGGAUGAAGGCCUCGGUUGUAACGUGACUUUGUUACGGUAACGAAAGAAUACUCUUCUAAUAAAGGGGUACCGAGUGACGGUACCGUAACGAAUAAGAC
RNAcentral lists this ribosomal RNA (473 nucleotides) under uncultured bacterium. RNAcentral's name for it is "bacterial SSU rRNA". It matches the Rfam family "Bacterial small subunit ribosomal RNA", at positions 30 to 492 of the family's 1533-position model. The record is from RNAcentral.